GGCCCAGCCCCAGAAUCCCCAGGUGACCCGAUUCAGGGAUCAGGACACAACACAGACAAACCACCAUGGAGUCUGUGCUCGGCUGGGUUUUCCUUGUCGCUAUUUUAAAAGGUGUCCAGGGUGAGGUGAAGCUGGUGGAGUCUGGGGGAGACCUGGUGAAGCCUGGGGGGUCCCUGAGACUCUCCUGUGUGGCCUCUGGAUUCACCUUCAGUAGCUACAACAUGGACUGGGUCCGCCAGGCUCCAGGGAAGGGGCUGCAGUGGGUCGCACGGAUUUACAGUGAUGGAAGUAGCACAAGCUACGCAGACGCUGUGAAGGGCCGAUUCACCAUCUCCAGAGACAACGCCAAGAACACGCUGUAUCUGCAGAUGAACAGCCUGAGAGCCGAGGACACGGCCGUGUAUUACUGUGCGAGGGACACAGUGAGGGGACCUCAGUGUGAGCCCAGACACAAACCUCCCUGUGGAAGGGGAUCGGGACCACCAGGGGGUGCACACUCCUCACCACUUCUGUCUUGAAGGCCCAGGAGCAGGUGCAGAUGGAGGUUCUGGGCAGGUUUCCUGUGGGGGUCUGGGCUUCCUCUCCAUGGAGCAGUUUUCACCCGGGAGCCCCUCUGAACUCUUGAUUAUGUGUUUACCUCUUCAUUCUCUUUCUUAGAGACCUAGAAUUCAACUAUAGCAAUUGCACUUACUUGUACUUAAA
Molecule: non-coding RNA, 702 nt
Organism: Nyctereutes procyonoides (raccoon dog)
Lineage: Eukaryota; Metazoa; Chordata; Mammalia; Carnivora; Canidae
Source: the annotation of a RefSeq genome assembly